This 301-nucleotide ribosomal RNA is filed under the name uncultured bacterium. Its description in RNAcentral is "partial 16S ribosomal RNA". It matches the Rfam family "Bacterial small subunit ribosomal RNA", at positions 509 to 808 of the family's 1533-position model. The record is from RNAcentral.
CAGUCGCCGCGGUAAUACGUAGGUCCCGAGCGUUGUCCGGAUUUAUUGGGCGUAAAGCGAGCGCAGGCGGUUUGAUAAGUCUGAAGUUAAAGGCUGUGGCUCAACCAUAGUUCGCUUUGGAAACUGUCAAACUUGAGUGCAGAAGGGGAGAGUGGAAUUCCAUGUGUAGCGGUGAAAUGCGUAGAUAUAUGGAGGAACACCGGUGGCGAAAGCGGCUCUCUGGUCUGUAACUGACGCUGAGGCUCGAAAGCGUGGGGAGCGAACAGGAUUAGAUACCCCAGUAGUCCCUGUCUCUUAUACA